UGGGGUAUAGCUCAGUGGUAGAGCUUAGCAUGCAUAAGGUCCUGGGUUCAAUCCCCAGUCCCUCCA
This 66-nucleotide transfer RNA is filed under the name Camelus bactrianus (Bactrian camel). It matches the Rfam family "tRNA". From Rfam's summary of the family: Transfer RNA (tRNA) molecules are approximately 80 nucleotides in length. Their secondary structure includes four short double-helical elements and three loops (D, anti-codon, and T loops). Further hydrogen bonds mediate the characteristic L-shaped molecular structure. tRNAs have two regions of fundamental functional importance: the anti-codon, which is responsible for specific mRNA codon recognition, and the 3' end, to which the tRNAs corresponding amino acid is attached (by aminoacyl-tRNA synthetases). tRNAs cope with the degeneracy of the genetic code in two manners: having more than one tRNA (with a specific anti-codon) for a particular amino acid; and 'wobble' base-pairing, i.e. permitting non-standard base-pairing at the 3rd anti-codon position. Lineage: Eukaryota; Metazoa; Chordata; Mammalia; Artiodactyla; Camelidae. The record is from Rfam by way of RNAcentral. RNAcentral also lists the same sequence under 3 other names.